CCAAUAGCGUAUAUUAAAGUUGUUGCAGUUAAAAAGCUCGUAGUUGAAUUUCGGGGUCGGUAGGUUGGUCGUGCCAUCGGUAUGCACUGGUCUCACCGAUUCCUCCCUCUUGUAGAAGCGUAAUGCCAUUAAGUUGGUGUUGCGGGGAAACAGGACUGUUACUUUGAAAAAAUUAGAGUGUUUACAGCAGGCUAACGCUUGAAUACAUUAGCAUGGAAUAAUGAAAUAGGACGUCGAUCCUAUUUUGUUGGUUUCUAGGGUUGACGUAAUGAUUAAUAGGGAUAGUGGGGGGCAUUAGUAUUCAAUUGUCAGAGGUGAAAUUCUUGGAUUUAUUGAAGACUAACUACUGCGAAAGCAUUUGCCAAGGAUGUUUUCAUUAAUCAAGAACGAAAGUUAGGGGAUCGAAGACGAUCAGAUACCGUCGUAGUCUUAACCAUAAACUAUGCCGACUAGGGAUCGGAUGAUGUUAAUUUUUUAAUGACUCAUUCGGCGCCUUACG
RNAcentral lists this ribosomal RNA (499 nucleotides) under uncultured Glomeromycotina. Its description in RNAcentral is "partial small subunit ribosomal RNA". It matches the Rfam family "Eukaryotic small subunit ribosomal RNA", at positions 591 to 1092 of the family's 1831-position model. The record is from RNAcentral. Lineage: Eukaryota; Fungi; Glomeromycota.